GAUGAACGCUGGCGGCGUGCCUAAUACAUGCAAGUCGAGCGAACGGACGAGAAGCUUGCUUCUCUGAUGUUAGUGGCGGACGGGUGAGUAACACGUGGAUAACCUACCUAUAAGACUGGGAUAACUUCGGGAAACCAGAGCUAAUACCGGAUAAUAUUUUGAACCGCAUGGUUCAAAAGUGAAAGACGGUCUUGCUGUCACUUAUAGAUGGAUCCGCGCUGCAUUAGCUAGUUGGUAAGGUAACGGCUUACCAAGGCAACGAUGCAUAGCCUACCUGAGAGGGUGAUCGGCCACACUGGAACUGAGACACGGUCCAGACUCCUACGGGAGGCAGCAGUAGGGAAUCUUCCGCAAUGGGCGAAAGCCUGACGGAGCAACGCCGCGUGAGUGAUGAAGGUCUUCGGAUCGUAAAACUCUGUUAUUAGGGAAGAACAUAUGUGUAAGUAACUGUGCACAUCUUGACGGUACCUAAUCAGAAAGCCACGGCUAACUACGUG
RNAcentral lists this ribosomal RNA (497 nucleotides) under uncultured bacterium. RNAcentral's name for it is "partial 16S ribosomal RNA". It matches the Rfam family "Bacterial small subunit ribosomal RNA", at positions 28 to 507 of the family's 1533-position model. The record is from RNAcentral.